This 864-nucleotide ribosomal RNA is filed under the name Microascus trigonus. RNAcentral describes it as "partial large subunit ribosomal RNA". It matches the Rfam family "Eukaryotic large subunit ribosomal RNA", at positions 40 to 930 of the family's 3401-position model. The record is from RNAcentral. Lineage: Eukaryota; Fungi; Ascomycota; Sordariomycetes; Microascales; Microascaceae.
AUAUCAAUAAGCGGAGGAAAAGAAACCAACAGGGAUUGCCCCAGUAACGGCGAGUGAAGCGGCAACAGCUCAAAUUUGAAAUCUGGUCCCCCCGCGGGGCCCGAGUUGUAAUUUGAAGAGGAUGCUUCUGGCAAGGUGCCGUCCGAGUUCCCUGGAACGGGACGCCGCAGAGGGUGAGAGCCCCGUACGGUCGGAUGCCGAGCCUCUGUGAAGCUCCUUCGACGAGUCGAGUAGUUUGGGAAUGCUGCUCAAAAUGGGAGGUAAACCCCUUCUAAAGCUAAAUACCGGCCAGAGACCGAUAGCGCACAAGUAGAGUGAUCGAAAGAUGAAAAGCACUUUGAAAAGAGAGUUAAAAAGCACGUGAAAUUGUUGAAAGGGAAGCGCUUGCGACCAGACUCGCGCCCGUCGGAUCAGCCGUCGCUCGUCGGCGGCGCACUCCGGCGGGCUCGGGCCAGCAUCAGUUCGCCUCGGGGGGAGAAAGGCGGCAGGAAUGUGGCUCUACGGAGUGUUAUAGCCUGCCGUACAAUACCCCCGGGCGGACUGAGGACCGCGCGUAUGCAAGGAUGCUGGCGUAAUGGUCGUCAGCGACCCGUCUUGAAACACGGACCAAGGAGUCGUCCUAAUAUGCGAGUGUACGGGUGUCAAACCCCUGCGCGUAAUGAAAGUGAACGGAGGUGAGAGCUUCGGCGCAUCAUCGACCGAUCCUGAUGUUCUCGGAUGGAUUUGAGUAAGAGCAUAUUGGGCCGGACCCGAAAGAAGGUGAACUAUGCCUGUGUAGGGUAAAGCCAGAGGAAACUCUGGUGGAGGCUCGCAGCGGUUCUGACGUGCAAAUCGAUCGUCAAACAUGGGCAUGGGGGCGAAAGA